AGUGAACGCUGGCGGUAGGCCUAACACAUGCAAGUCGAACGGCAGCACAGUAAGAGCUUGCUCUUACGGGUGGCGAGUGGCGGACGGGUGAGGAAUACAUCGGAAUCUACUUUUUCGUGGGGGAUAACGUAGGGAAACUUACGCUAAUACCGCAUACGACCUACGGGUGAAAGCAGGGGAUCUUCGGACCUUGCGCGAUUGAAUGAGCCGAUGUCGGAUUAGCUAGUUGGCGGGGUAAAGGCCCACCAAGGCGACGAUCCGUAGCUGGUCUGAGAGGAUGAUCAGCCACACUGGAACGGAGACACGGUCCAGACUCCUACGGGAGGCAGCAGUGGGGAAUAUUGGACAAUGGGUGCAAGCCUGAUCCAGCCAUACCGCGUGGGUGAAGAAGGCCUUCGGGUUGUAAAGCCCUUUUGUUGGGAAAGAAAAGCAGCAGGCUAAUACCCCGCUGUUCUGACGGUACCCAAAGAAUAAGCACCGGCUAACUUCGUG
Molecule: ribosomal RNA, 492 nt
Filed under: uncultured bacterium
Lineage: Bacteria
Description: partial 16S ribosomal RNA
Rfam family: Bacterial small subunit ribosomal RNA
Source: RNAcentral